CCUCCGGGACGCACCCGCGUCUGAGCGCACCUUGACGCGUGAAGUUCAAGGGGAACUAGAUGCGCCGGCUGCUGCUUCUUCCUCCAGGCUCAAGUUUCAGUCUCCUUCGGGUCUUGUUCCCUAGGCGGCGGCUCUGCCAAGAGCUCACCUGCGGGCGCACGGGUGGAGGAAGCGGGCUCCAACCACCCAGACAAUUGCACCCAGCUCCUCCAAGGAGCUGAGCCCGAGGCCCCAGAGCUGGAGUUCAGGAACUCUGGCAGGGUCUGAGCCCUGAGAACUGCUCCGAGCGCCUGGGAGGGGGGAGAUAAGGGUCGCGAAGAGCUGUAACUCCUUCCCCAAGGCGGGUCCCCAGAACGCCAUGCGCUACCCGGAGUGCGGAACGUGGUGGCUGUCGCGUUCGGGCUGUUGAGGAGGGGGAUUGAUGGAUGUCAGUGGUUGCCCCAGGAGUGGAUGGGAUGAUGGAAAACCCGAAGAGAAGGUUCUCACUUCAGGGCGAGGAGUGCGCGUCCCUCUUUCCUGAUGAAGACCAGGUUGGAGGGGAGGACAGGCAAGAGGGGGCCUCACUAUGGGAUUCUUUGGCCACACAUACUCCAUCAUUGUCAUCCUCCAGCCUCAUCAGAUGGCUGAACCAGAGGUGCCUCCCUGAUCUUGGACCGUGAUCUUCCAAAACCAUGAGGCAGUCUUCCAAGUCAUGUACUUCUUCCUGAAGAAGAACUGGACCCAGAAAGAGGCCUAGGACUCUCACCGAUGCGCAAGCCAGAAAGGUGAGUGGUCAGAGCCUCUUCAUCUGCCCGCUCACCUGAAUUCUCAACUAGCACUGAUUUGGUGCAGACCGGCAUCAUCAAUUUUAAAUGUUUUCUAUUGUAUACCCAGAAAGGAUAUUAUUUUUCAGCUUAUAAGAAUUGAAGUCAGA
Long non-coding RNA from Lepus europaeus (European hare), 913 nucleotides. RefSeq lists it as uncharacterized. The transcript is spliced from 4 exons. The record is from RefSeq and is a predicted model, not a curated record. NCBI's taxonomy places the organism in Eukaryota, Metazoa, Chordata, Mammalia, Lagomorpha, Leporidae.